RNAcentral lists this long non-coding RNA (555 nucleotides) under Populus tremula. RNAcentral describes it as "long non-coding RNA (PTRE_LNC000745)". Lineage: Eukaryota; Viridiplantae; Streptophyta; Magnoliopsida; Malpighiales; Salicaceae. The record is from RNAcentral.
ACACAGCUGCCUCAACAUAGAGCUUUCCCCUCUUCCAUUUUAAUAUAAAUGACCUCGCUUAUAUAGAAAUCUUCAUGUUUUUUCAGUCCCUUCUCUUCUUCUUCUUCUCUCUCAAGUCUCCACCAAACUAGUAAUUGCAUUGUUCUUUCUUUUCCAUUACCAUGGUGGUAGCAUCCAACUUUGCGGUGAUCAAACCCUUCUUUAUUUCAUUCCUUCAACAAAGGCCUUUUAGGCGUCCUACUCCUAACUUCCAUGAGAUGAUGCGUAACAUUACAUGGCAAGCCAGAGGUCCUUCCAUGCCAUGAAUGAUUACAUGCGUGGGUGCAUGCAUCCAUGCGAGGGGAAUCGAGCAUUCCUGGUCCGAUUGAUUACUACAUUUAUAUGAAUUCUGUUCUGUAGCUGUACAAUUAUCAGUCCUUGUUCAUUACAGACUGCUCCUCUCUUCUUCUUCUUCUUCUUCUUCUUUGGUUUUUUCCCCGAUUAAGCAUUAUUGAUUUUCUUUUGAGAGUUAGGAUUGUAUCUGUAGUUGAUUAUAUAUCAUCAUAAGUGCUCUUG